UACGUAGGGGGCAAGCGUUGUCCGGAUUUAUUGGGCGUAAAGAGCGUGUAGGCGGCCAGACAGGUCCGUUGUGAAAACUCGAGGCUCAACCUCGAGAUGUCGAUGGAAACCGUCUGGCUAGAGUCCGGAAGAGGAGUGUGGAAUUCCUGGUGUAGCGGUGAAAUGCGCAGAUAUCAGGAAGAACACCUAUGGCGAAGGCAGCACUCUGGGACGGGACUGACGCUGAGACGCGAAAGCGUGGGGAGCGAACAGG
This 253-nucleotide ribosomal RNA is filed under the name uncultured bacterium. Its description in RNAcentral is "partial 16S ribosomal RNA". It matches the Rfam family "Bacterial small subunit ribosomal RNA", at positions 524 to 776 of the family's 1533-position model. The record is from RNAcentral.